Rhopilema esculentum is the source of this 1619-nucleotide non-coding RNA. The record is from RefSeq and is a predicted model, not a curated record. Lineage: Eukaryota; Metazoa; Cnidaria; Scyphozoa; Rhizostomeae; Rhizostomatidae.
CGAAUAAUCAGGAUUAUGGAUCACGGUCAUUUUGGCUGUUGUUGUUGUCUUCAUUCAAUUCAUGGAAAACUGAUUAAAAUGGCGGAAAUGAUGGAGAAUGAUAGCGUUGAAACUACAAGUGCGAAAGAUUUUCUUUCAAUCGAAGACGACAUAAGCAAUGGCAUUCUUCAGCUCUUGAAGCCAGCUGUGGAAGAAGUUGAUAACAGAGUACUCGAUGUCAGACAAAGUCAGCUGAGUUUAAGAGAAAAAAUUGAAACCCUCACAUCAGAUCUUCAGAAGCUUGUUGAACAGCAGAAACCUCCAAUUGAUCUUGAAAUCUACGUCAAGAAGCUGCUAAAUUGCCGGCGAAGGGUCAUCGUUGUCAACAGUGUUUUGAAUAACACCCACGAAAGACUGAACAAGCUGCAGCAAAAUAUCAUCAGGGAAACAAACAAGAAAAAGUCGGCAUUGGAUGCUUCUCUUUAUCCUUCUUGAAGUUGGGAAUGCUGCUCAUUAAAUGCUACAUUUAUUCAUGUGACAACAUUUCAUGUACAAGUAAAGAACAACAUUUUGUCCAAGUGGGAGUUAACACCAGUGGCAGCGAGUAUAAGUAAGUGGAAACAAGUUUGGCUUUGAACUUUUGCAAAGAGCAUUCAAAACUAAAUUAUAAAUGAAUCAACAUUUUAAACAGUAAGUCAGAAAAUCUCACGUUGCAAGAUAUAGUUGAACACUUAAAAGUUAAGAGAAAAGUACCAUAAAUAUAUAUUUCUUGGUGAUUGUUUAGUUCUAAAGGUUCUAGAGAUCUGUGUAUCAGAGAAAAGGACAGAAUACACUACAUUUUGCAAAUAUUUCUGUAAAUUUCCAGAGAUCACCUAAAACUCUGUUGAUCCUUUGCCAAUUCUCCUGCCAUUUAUGUUUUGAAAAAUUUUGAAGCAUUAAGGUGUUUUGUUAUAUUUACACCAUGACAAAUGUUUGAAGAUGGACUGGUUAUUCAAGAAACACCUACUGCUUUGUUCAAGUCUCAAAGGCUGCCAGAGAAAUGAAAAAUGAAACAGAUCAAAAGUUUAUAUUAAAAAGUGAUGUUUUAUUUCCACUGCCUUUUUUAGAGUGACAUAGAGUGGGGGUACAGUGGUAAAACAAGGAUUCUUUGAAUGGGAGUGCAAAGCAUUAUUGACCUUUCAUUCUAUGGUAUUCUAUGAGUUAAAUCACAACAUUGAAAAUAAGAAUUAUGUGUAGAGGAAUCAUAACAAUCUGUCUCUAAGUUUGCUGGGGGCUUGAUAGAGAGGAGGGAUUUACUUCAUAUUUUUGCUUCAAAUUUCUGCUUUAAGAAAGAACUUUGACAGAGCUUUUACAGUAAAGUGUGAACACUUUCUUUUAGAUUUUUUGCAAAUGUAAACUAAAAUGGAUGAUGUGAAUUACACUUGAGAUCUGGUUCAAUCAGCUAAAACUAUCAAUUUAACCUGAAUAAACUUCAACUAACCAGCCAAACGAUGGACAAAGCCAGGCUAUUGAUCAUUUCUUAUAAAUUCCUCCAAUUUUUUAAAAAAUAACAGCUAAAACUGUUUCAAAUGUUUUGUUUUCUUGUUAUUUUGUACCAUUUGAAAAACUGUAAAUCAAGCAAACUGAGUUUUUUAUAUUCA